This 213-nucleotide unclassified non-coding RNA is filed under the name Hevea brasiliensis (rubber tree). Lineage: Eukaryota; Viridiplantae; Streptophyta; Magnoliopsida; Malpighiales; Euphorbiaceae. The record is from RNAcentral.
GGAAGAGAGGGUCGGCCCGCAAAGAGGUCGAGUAUAGAGCCUACGACAGUCUGCUGGUCUGAAGAGAGGGUAACGCCAGGUGAAGUUUGCACGUUUGUCGUCUCGACGCUGAGACUGCGGGUGGCGUUUGACGAGGGAACGCCGGUAGACAUGUUUAUCCUAGUCACACUUGGCGUGCGUCCAAUGUAUGAGACAGCUAACUUUGUAUUCAAU